RNAcentral lists this ribosomal RNA (460 nucleotides) under uncultured bacterium. Its description in RNAcentral is "partial 16S ribosomal RNA". It matches the Rfam family "Bacterial small subunit ribosomal RNA", at positions 338 to 795 of the family's 1533-position model. The record is from RNAcentral.
CCUACGGGAGGCAGCAGUGAGGAAUAUUGGUCAAUGGGCGUAAGCCUGAACCAGCCAAGUCGCGUGAGGGAUGAAGGUUCUAUGGAUCGUAAACCUCUUUUAUAAGGGAGUAAAGUGCGGGACGUGUCCCGUUUUGUAUGUACCUUAUGAAUAAGGAUUGGCUAACCCCGUGCCAGCAGCCGCGGUAAUACGGAGGAUCCGAGCGUUAUCCGGAUUUAUUGGGUUUAAAGGGUGCGUAGGCGGCCUUUUAAGUCAGCGGGGAAAGUCUGGGGAUCAACCAUAGAAUUGCCGUUGAAACUGGGAGGCUUGAGUAUGUUUGAGGCAGGCGGAAUGCGUGGUGUAGCGGUGAAAUGCUUAGAUAUCACGCAGAACCCCGAUUGCGAAGGCAGCCUGCCAAGCCAUGACUGACGCUGAUGCACGAAAGCGUGGGGAUCAAACAGGAUUAGAUACCCUUGUAGUC